GCCUGGUUAGCUCAGUUGGUAGAGCAUGAGACUCUUAAUAUCAGGGUUGUGGGUUCAAGCCCCACGUUGGGCG
This is a non-coding RNA of Syngnathus typhle (broad-nosed pipefish), 73 nucleotides long. The record is from the annotation of a RefSeq genome assembly. Lineage: Eukaryota; Metazoa; Chordata; Actinopteri; Syngnathiformes; Syngnathidae.